RNAcentral lists this ribosomal RNA (424 nucleotides) under uncultured bacterium. Its description in RNAcentral is "partial 16S ribosomal RNA". It matches the Rfam family "Bacterial small subunit ribosomal RNA", at positions 360 to 776 of the family's 1533-position model. The record is from RNAcentral.
AAUAUUGGACAAUGGGGGGAACCCUGAUCUAGCCAUGCCGCGUGUGUUAAGAAGGUCUUCGGAUUGUAAAGCACUUUACGUUGGGAGGAAGAGUUGUAGGCCAAUACCUUGCAAUUUAUACGUUACCAACAGAAUAAGCACCGGCUAACUUCGUGCCACCACCCGCGGUACUAAGAAGGGUGCAAGCGUUACUCGGAAUUACUGGGCGUAAAGCGCGCGUAGGUAGUUCGUUAAGUUGGAAGUGAAAGCCCCGGGCUUAACCUGGGAAUUGCUUUCAAAACUGACGAGCUAGAGUACGGUAGAGGGUAGUGGAAUUUCCUGUGUAGCGGUGAAAUGCGUAGAUAUAGGAAGGAACAUCAGUGGCGAAGGCGACUACCUGGACUGAUACUGACACUGAGGUGCGAAAGCGUGGGGAGCAAACAGG